RNAcentral lists this ribosomal RNA (459 nucleotides) under uncultured bacterium. RNAcentral's name for it is "bacterial SSU rRNA". It matches the Rfam family "Bacterial small subunit ribosomal RNA", at positions 28 to 507 of the family's 1533-position model. The record is from RNAcentral.
GAUGAACGUUGGCGGUGUGCCUAAUACAUGCAAGUCGAACGGAGUUAAUAGCAAUAUUGACUUAGUGGCGAACGGGUGAGUAACGCGUUGGUGAUCUGCCUCGAAGUGUGGAAUAACGUUCCGAAAGGAACGCUAAUACCGCAUGUGCUCUCAGUUUUUAGAAAGUUGAGAGUAAAGGAUUUAUUCGCUUCGAGAGGAGCCUGCGUCCCAUCAGCUAGUUGGUAGGGUAAUAGCCUACCAAGGCUUUGACGGGUAGGGGACCUGAGAGGGUGGCCCCCCACAAUGGAACUGAAACACGGUCCAUACACCUACGGGUGGCAGCAGUAGGGAAUAUUAGAAAUGGACGAAAGUCUGAUCUAGCGACACCGCGUGUGCGAUGAAGGCCUUCGGGUUGUAAAGCACUUUUUGGAAGGAAUAGGAAGGAAGGUACUUCCAGAAUAAGUCUCGGCUAACUACGUG